Molecule: ribosomal RNA, 440 nt
Filed under: uncultured bacterium
Lineage: Bacteria
Description: partial 16S ribosomal RNA
Rfam family: Bacterial small subunit ribosomal RNA
Source: RNAcentral
CCUACGGGAGGCAGCAGUGGGGAAUAUUGCACAAUGGGGGAAACCCUGAUGCAGCGACGCCGCGUGAGUGAAGACGUAUUUCGGUAUGUAAAGCUCUAUCAGUAGGGAAGAAAAUGACGGUACCUGAGUAAGAAGCUCCGGCUAACUACGUGCCAGCAGCCGCGGUAAUACGUAGGGGGCAAGCGUUAUCCGGAUUUACUGGGUGUAAAGGGAGCGUAGACGGCAGCACAAGUCUGGAGUGAAAUGCCGGGGCUUAACCCCGGAACUGCUUUGGAAACGGUGCAGCUAGAGUGCAGGAGAGGUAAGUGGAAUUCCUGGUGUAGCGGUGAAAUGCGUAGAUAUUAGGAGGAACACCAGUGGCGAAGGCGGCUUACUGGACUGUAACUGACGUUGAGGCUCGAAAGCGUGGGGAGCAAACAGGAUUAGAUACCCCUGUAGUC